UGGAAGAUUUCAUGUUCUCAAGCUCACUGAGUCAUCAGUGAAUUUAUGAGCCAGGUGAGGAAUUUCCAGAGACCAGAUGUCAUGUAAUAUUUCCCCAAAACAUGACUUUGGAAGAAAGGGAGAAGAAAAGGGGUUGAAUACCACCAGUCUUCAGAUCUGGGAACAUUCUCUCAAACUCCCACCAUGCCUAAGAUCUGUUGGCUAGAAAGUUCGGGACUGAAGUCCAGGCCCCAGUGUACUUCAUGGUGCUGUUUUACAGAUCAGCGCUUUCCAAAAGAACUCUGCACAGUGAUGAAAAUGUUCUAUAUUUGCACUAUCCAGUGUGUCAACUACCAGUCACAUGUGCAGAUGGAACACUUGAAUUGUGGCCUCUGUGACUCUGGAACUGAAUGUCUAGUUGUAAAAUAAACUUGUAGCUGGUGACUCCCAUACUGGACAGAGUGCGUCAAACAUAUGUCCAGGAUUAUGUGUGUGAUCCAGAUCCACAACAAACAAAUCUCUAUCCAAAGCAACUGCAUUUGGCACCACUUGUUUUCAACAAGUAGAACCUGGAUGGAGGAUAUACAGCUAAUCCUCAGAGUCAGCGGGGGGUGCUGACUUGCAUCCCUGGGAAGGGAAGGGGACACCGAGACAACACCGAUACUGAAAAGAAGAAAACUAGAAAUAAGACUUAAAAUCUGAACUCAAUCAGAUCCACGCAGGUGGAGAGGUAUGAAAUGCCUCUCUUUCUUCUCAAGAGGCGUGUGAUGGAAGAAAUUUGUCAUCAGACUGGAGCUCUCCAGAGCCCUUCGUGUGAAGACAUGGUCCCAAAAACUGACUUGAGGUUUAACUGAAUCUAGAAACUGUUCAAGCACCACGGCAUGGGACAUUCAUCAGGGGUGCGUAAAUGGGCUUUAAUUGAUCAUAAGACAGAACAUUGGAUUUGUUCUCUGGAAGAUGUACUCUUAACAGAUGAGGAUACAGUGUGUGUAUGUGUGUGCGUGUGGGUGUUUCUUUUCUUUCCUCCUUCAUGUUCCUACCAGUCAAACUUUGUCAGCAAGAACUCUCCCAGUCAAGAGAUACAGCCCAGCCUCACACUACCUAUAGAGGGGUGCAUGGUGUCUCCUCUUUCUGGGAUUGGUUUAAAUGAACUGCUAUGUUCCAGGGAUAGCUGUUUGAAAAAAAAAAAAAAACCUGACAGUUAAGGUUAGCUCCCAACAGCUAUCUUUGCUGAGUGAGAUAACAUCAGAACGUGGUAGAGGUGCUGAGAGAAAGUAUGAGAAUCAGCUUACAACAGAGGCCAAAAGUGAAACCUCCCUUCAGAAGCAGGGAUAUCUGGUUGAGUACCUACUAUGUUCAGACACCAUAAACUGAUUGAAUCCUGUUAGCAAUCCUACUGUGAUUUUUUUUUUAAGAUUUUAUUUAUUUAUUUGACAGAGGGAGAUCACAAGUAGGCAGAGAGGCAGGCAGAGAGUGAGAAGGUGAAGCAGGCGCCCCGCUGAACAGAGAGCCCGAUGCUGGGCUCCAUCCCAGGACCCUGGGAUCAUGACUGGAGCAGAAGGCAGAGACUAACCCACUGAGCCCCCCAGGCGCCCCCCUGCUGUGAUUUUUUUACAGACUGAUGAUUGGAGGAUCAGAGAAAGCAAGUGACUGGCCUCAGGUCAAACAUGCAGUACUCAUGUUGGGGCCAGAUUCGUCUAUCUCGGAACCUCUCUGUUUCACUUCACCAACAUACUAGGUGCUCACUGACCCUGGCUGACCUCACUCUUCUAUGACACGCUGACUUCAAGGAAAUUGCUGAGAAGUCUCUGAUGAGCUGAGACCCCGUGCAUGAUAGGGCACCUGGGCCAAGCUUAACCCCCUGCUGGGAGGAAACUUUCCUUCCCAAGAAAUAACUGUAAGUGAGCGUGACCGACUUGCAACAGAACUAUAAACAAAGGCUCAAACAUACGCAUUAAAUCACUUGCCUGGAGUCGUACAAUCAGGAUUGAACUCAAAUGUAGCUGAGAAAAAAAAUGCAUGCUCUUUCCACCACUCUUCAUUGCUUUACUUUAAGAGACAUAGAAAAAUGUUCUGCUGAGCUUAUAUAUUUUAUAUCCAUAGGCCUGUGUGUGUGCGUGUGCGUGUGCAUGUGUGUCUAUGAAUGUGUGUCCAUGUGUCUGCGUAACUGUGCAUAUGACUGUGUGUGUGUUUUCCAUCCUACUAUUUUUCUCUCUCAAGCUAAGGAUUCAUAACUCAGGUGGUUUGGGAUCUAAUACUGUGAAGAUAUUGUGGACACUAUAUAUUCAGUUUCUUCUCUCCAUUGAUGGCCGCCACAGCCAAGGGAGCCCUUAAUGAGGCCCUCCACAAACCCUUGGAGUUCCCUGAUCUCACCCGCCAUUCAUCGCUGUGGUUUGAGACCACAGUAUGAGGAGAGAAAUUAGUUCAUAUCUCAAAGACGGUAACUCUUUUGAAUAAAGAAUGCAAAUUGUAACAGUGAGUAUGGCCUUACUGUGAUGACAUUUCCUUCCAUCGUGUAGGUUUUGAUGACACCGCCGACAGGUGCCUGCAGGUACUGUCAGGGACGACCUGCAAACCAUUUCAAGACCAAGAUCUCUCAGGGAAAGUUUCAACUUGACUUUCUCUCCCAUCUCCUCUAUUCUUCCAUCGUGCUCCUUACGCCCUCCUUCCCUGCCCCAAUCCUAGCAAAAAUCUUCCCUGCCAGUGAUACCAGAAUCCUCUUCUUUAAGGAUUUGUGAUCAGACAUGCUCACUAUGUAAAUAUGUUCAGUGGUUUCUAAGGGAUCCUACAUGAAUUUCAUGUGCCAUGGACUUGAGACUAUUAAUGAACUGGUUGGUGCCUUGCUCUGUUCUAACCUCCUCACUGCCCUGUCCUUGCUCUGCAGACUGGUAAGGUGUAACCUCAACUCUUUGUCAUUUACUGAGGACAUUUCUCAAGGUGAUCACCUUUCCCCUGUGAUACGUCUUGAAUCAUGAAGGCUUAUCUUCAGUGUAGGCUGGACAUCACCUUCUUAUCUUUGAACUCUUCACAGUACAUAGUUAGAUGACCAUUUGCAAGGCACUUAUCAUUUUCAUGCUAUUAAAAGUAUUUAUUUACAGUCUUGCUUCUUUGUAAAUUGCUUUUUAUUUGGUUUAUAUAAACUGUCUGUACUUUCA
Molecule: long non-coding RNA, 3134 nt
Organism: Mustela lutreola (European mink)
Lineage: Eukaryota; Metazoa; Chordata; Mammalia; Carnivora; Mustelidae
Exons: 3
Source: RefSeq, a predicted model, not a curated record